UGAAUUUCGGGGUCAGUGCUUUGGUCGUGCCUCAGGUAUGUACUGUCGACUCAGCUGACAGCUUCCUGAUGAACUGUAAUGCCAUUAAUUUUGGUGUUGCAGGGAAUCUGGACUGUUACUUUGAAAAAAUUAGAGUGUUUAAAGCAGGCUAACGCUUGAAUACAUUAGCAUGGAAUAAUGAAAUAGGACGUUCGAUCCUAUUUUGUUGGUUUCUAGGAUUGACGUAAUGAUUAAUAGGGAUAGUUGGGGGCAUUAGUAUUCAAUUGUCAGAGGUGAAAUUCUUGGAUUUAUUGAAGACUAACUACUGCGAAAGCAUUUGCCAAGGAUGUUUUCAUUAAUCAAGAACGAAAGUUAGGGGAUCGAAGACGAUCAGAUACC
This 378-nucleotide ribosomal RNA is filed under the name uncultured Glomus. RNAcentral describes it as "SSU rRNA". It matches the Rfam family "Eukaryotic small subunit ribosomal RNA", at positions 635 to 1016 of the family's 1831-position model. The record is from RNAcentral. Lineage: Eukaryota; Fungi; Glomeromycota; Glomeromycetes; Glomerales; Glomeraceae.